This 1071-nucleotide long non-coding RNA is filed under the name Chinchilla lanigera (long-tailed chinchilla). Its description in RNAcentral is "lncRNA (ENSCLAG00000022721.1)". The record is from RNAcentral. Lineage: Eukaryota; Metazoa; Chordata; Mammalia; Rodentia; Chinchillidae.
AUCAGGUUAUUUUCUGCUGUUUAGGACUUGAAAGGCAGCCCUUUGGGACCAGCGAAAACAUGGUCCUCAGCGCAUGCUCUGCUUUCUGGUAGAUCUCGUACAGCCGCUUCAGGAGAUUCUGUGAUGUUUCACAUACGCUGGAUAUUUAAGUAGAAGUGAAGCCUUCUGAAGGCUGACGAUGAUGCUGAUUAGUCUCCUGCAAAGACCGUGUGUGACGCAAGCAUCCCAGGAAUCACACGACAGGGGAAGAUGUACCCUAAAGCUCUUUACAUUUCUGGCCUUCUUAUAAGACAAUUAACCUACGGAGGAACGUGUUAACGUGUUAUACCUUUCAGUGCUGAUGAAUAGAAGAUGUUCUUUCCAGUCCUCCAUUUACAUAUGGGCGCAGCCAAUCAGAGCUGUUUCUGAGACUCCAUUUAUAUCUAGAGCUCGGGACCUCGCUGGCACUGAGAAUGGCUUCAGUUCACUUUGGAGAGCUCUGGUCCUCACUUUGAGCAUAGCUGCCUGGUUCUGGAGGGGAAGAUGGUGCACUGCCGGCCUCCUGGAAAAGCUUGCUGCAUUGGCUUCCCUGAUGGGAACUCAGCCAUCCUGAUCAUCGGAGGAGCUCGGGACCUCACUGUUGUCAAGGAUGGCUGUGGUACCAUUUGGGGAAGCUCUGGUUCUUCUGAGCAUCACUUCCUGGCUCCAGUGCAGAUCCCUCAGCCUGCUAGCACAGAUCCUUCAUCCUGCUGGCACAGACUUUGUAGAUUCCACCACUGACCUUUGGACCUUCCCAGGAGAUCCGUGAAACAGGUCUGCAUGAGAUGUUGUCAUGGGCUCUGGGCCUCCAGUUGGAUUCAUGGGAGGCAUUGUUAUGAGCUCUGAGUAUUCAGCUCAACUCAUGUAGGACAUUGUUGUGGGAUCCAGGCCCUCAGCUGGAUUCCUUGGUCUUAGUGUGUGGACAGAUUCCCUGCACUCUUUUGUAUACUGUUCUUGGGUGACUUAUAAAUAAUCAUACAAAGUAUGUGUCCUAUAUUAUGUUGUUCCCCUUGCAAGAUAAGCCACCCCAAACCAACACACCACCGCAUAAAA